This 462-nucleotide ribosomal RNA is filed under the name uncultured bacterium. RNAcentral describes it as "partial 16S ribosomal RNA". It matches the Rfam family "Bacterial small subunit ribosomal RNA", at positions 338 to 795 of the family's 1533-position model. The record is from RNAcentral.
CCUACGGGGGGCAGCAGUGAGGAAUAUUGGUCAAUGGACGCAAGUCUGAACCAGCCAAGUAGCGUGCAGGAUGACGGCCCUCCGGGUUGUAAACUGCUUUUAGUUGGGAAUAAAAGGGGGCUCGUGAGCCCCGUAUUGUAUGUACCAUCAGAAAAAGGACCGGCUAAUUCCGUGCCAGCAGCCGCGGUAAUACGGAAGGUCCGGGCGUUAUCCGGAUUUAUUGGGUUUAAAGGGAGCGUAGGCCGGCUUUUAAGUCAGCUGUGAAAGUCCGCGGCUCAACCGUGGAAUUGCAGUUGAAACUGGAGGCCUUGAGUGCACACAGGGAUGCCGGAAUUCAUGGUGUAGCGGUGAAAUGCUUAGAUAUCAUGCAGAACUCCGAUUGCGAAGGCAGCAUACCGGCGCCCAACUGACGCUGAAGCACGAAAGCGUGGGUAUCGAACAGGAUUAGAUACCCUAGUAGUC